GGACUUGUAGCUCAGGCGGUUAGAGCGCACGCCUGAUAAGCGUGAGGUCGGUGGUUCGAGUCCACCCAGGUCCACCA
Molecule: transfer RNA, 77 nt
Filed under: Tepidimicrobium xylanilyticum
Lineage: Bacteria; Bacillati; Bacillota; Tissierellia; Tissierellales; Tepidimicrobiaceae
Also listed under: 4 other names
Description: tRNA-Ile
Rfam family: tRNA
About the family: Transfer RNA (tRNA) molecules are approximately 80 nucleotides in length. Their secondary structure includes four short double-helical elements and three loops (D, anti-codon, and T loops).
Source: RNAcentral